This 301-nucleotide ribosomal RNA is filed under the name uncultured bacterium. RNAcentral describes it as "partial 16S ribosomal RNA". It matches the Rfam family "Bacterial small subunit ribosomal RNA", at positions 509 to 808 of the family's 1533-position model. The record is from RNAcentral.
CAGUCGCGCGGGAAAACAGAGGGUGCGAGCGUUAAUCGGAUUUACUGGGCGUAAAGCGUGCGUAGGCGGCUUCUUAAGUCGGAUGUGAAAUCCCUGAGCUUAACUUAGGAAUUGCAUUCGAUACUGGGAAGCUAGAGUAUGGGAGAGGAUGGUAGAAUUCCAGGUGUAGCGGUGAAAUGCGUAGAGAUCUGGAGGAAUACCGAUGGCGAAGGCAGCCAUCUGGCCUAAUACUGACGCUGAGGUACGAAAGCAUGGGGAGCAAACAGGAUUAGAUACCCCAGUAGUCCCUGUCUCUUAUACA